Molecule: ribosomal RNA, 718 nt
Filed under: uncultured bacterium
Lineage: Bacteria
Description: bacterial SSU rRNA
Rfam family: Bacterial small subunit ribosomal RNA
Source: RNAcentral
CGGCAUGCUUUACACAUGCAAGUCGAACGGCAGCGGGGGCUUCGGCCCGCCGGCGAGUGGCGAACGGGUGAGUAAUGCAUCGGAACGUGCCCAGUCGUGGGGGAUAACACAUCGAAAGAUGUGCUAAUACCGCAUACGUCCUGAGGGAGAAAGCGGGGGAUCUUCGGACCUCGCGCGAUUGGAGCGGCCGAUGUCGGAUUAGCUAGUUGGUGGGGUAAAAGCCCACCAAGGCGACGAUCCGUAGCGGGUCUGAGAGGAUGAUCCGCCACACUGGGACUGAGACACGGCCCAGACUCCUACGGGAGGCAGCAGUGGGGAAUUUUGGACAAUGGGGGCAACCCUGAUCCAGCCAUGCCGCGUGAGUGAAGAAGGCCUUCGGGUUGUAAAGCUCUUUCGGACGGAAAGAAAUCGCCGCCUCUAACAUAGGCGGUGGAUGACGGUACCGUAAGAAGAAGCACCGGCUAACUACGUGCCAGCAGCCGCGGUAAUACGUAGGGUGCGAGCGUUAAUCGGAAUUACUGGGCGUAAAGCGUGCGCAGGCGGUUUGGUAAGACAGGUGUGAAAUCCCCGGGCUUAACCUGGGAACUGCGCUUGUGACUGCCAGGCUAGAGUACGGCAGAGGGGGGUGGAAUUCCACGUGUAGCAGUGAAAUGCGUAGAGAUGUGGAGGAACACCGAUGGCGAAGGCAGCCCCCUGGGCCUGUACUACGUCUCCAAGC